GCCUUUUGCAGGUUUUCUUUACUGGAGUAUAAGAAAUUUUGUAAUUUGCCCAUUAAAGAUGCUGCAGUUGCACUUGCAGAAAGUGGCAAGAUUGGGGCAUUAAACCUUCUCUUUAAGCGUCAUCCUUACUCCUUAACUUCCUCAUUUAUUAAAGAUGCUGCAGUUGCAAUUGCAGAAAGUGGCAAGAUUGGGGUAUUAAACCUUCUCUUUAAGCGUCAUCCUUACUCCUUAACUUCCUCAUUGUUGGAUGUCUUAGCUGCUAUUCCUGAGACGCUUCCGGUGCAGACUUAUGGACAGCUCCUUCCUGGGAGCUCCCCUCCUCCAAGUAUUUCUUUGAGG
This 339-nucleotide long non-coding RNA is filed under the name Nicotiana benthamiana. RNAcentral's name for it is "long non-coding RNA (NBEN_LNC033589)". The record is from RNAcentral. Lineage: Eukaryota; Viridiplantae; Streptophyta; Magnoliopsida; Solanales; Solanaceae.